AAGCGGGGGAUAACACCUGGAAACAGAUGCUAAUACCGCAUAACAACUUGGACCGCAUGGUCCGAGUUUGAAAGAUGGCUUCGGCUAUCACUUUUGGAUGGUCCCGCGGCGUAUUAGCUAGAUGGUGGGGUAACGGCUCACCAUGGCAAUGAUACGUAGCCGACCUGAGAGGGUAAUCGGCCACAUUGGGACUGAGACACGGCCCAAACUCCUACGGGAGGCAGCAGUAGGGAAUCUUCCACAAUGGACGAAAGUCUGAUGGAGCAACGCCGCGUGAGUGAAGAAGGGUUUCGGCUCGUAAAACUCUGUUGUUAAAGAAGAACAUAUCUGAGAGUAACUGUUCAGGUAUUGACGGUAUUUAACCAGAAAGCCACGGCUAACUACGUGCCAGCAGCCGCGGUAAUACGUAGGUGGCAAGCGUUGUCCGGAUUUAUUGGGCGUAAAGCGAGCGCAGGCGGUUUUUUAAGUCUGAUGUGAAAGCCUUCGGCUCAACCGAAGAAGUGCAUCGGAAACUGGGAAACUUGAGUGCAGAAGAGGACAGUGGAACUCCAUGUGUAGCGGUGAAAUGCGUAGAUAUAUGGAAGAACACCAGUGGCGAAGGCGGCUGUCUGGUCUGUAACUGACGCUGAGGCUCGAAAGUAUGGGUAGCAAACAGGAUUAGAUACCCUGGUAGUCCAUACCGUAAACGAUGAAUGCUAAGUGUUGGAGGGUUUCCGCCCUUCAGUGCUGCAGCUAACGCAUUAAGCAUUCCGCCUGGGGAGUACGGCCGCAAGGCUGAAACUCAAAGGAAUUGACGGGGGCCCGCACAAGCGGUGGAGCAUGUGGUUUAAUUCGAAGCUACGCGAAGAACCUUACCAGGUCUUGACAUACUAUGCAAAUCUAAGAGAUUAGACGUUCCCUUCGGGGACAUGGAUACAGGUGGUGCAUGGUUGUCGUCAGCUCGUGUCGUGAGAUGUUGGGUUAAGUCCCGCAACGAGCGCAACCCUUAUUAUCAGUUGCCAGCAUUAAGUUGGGCACUCUGGUGAGACUGCCGGUGACAAACCGGAGGAAGGUGGGGAUGACGUCAAAUCAUCAUGCCCCUUAUGACCUGGGCUACACACGUGCUACAAUGGAUGGUACAACGAGUUGCGAACUCGCGAGAGUAAGCUAAUCUCUUAAAGCCAUUCUCAGUUCGGAUUGUAGGCUGCAACUCGCCUACAUGAAGUCGGAAUCGCUAGUAAUCGCGGAUCAGCAUGCCGCGGUGAAUACGUUCCCGGGCCUUGUACACACCGCCCGUCACACCAUGAGAGUUUGUAACACCCAAAGUCGGUGGG
Molecule: ribosomal RNA, 1313 nt
Filed under: Lactiplantibacillus plantarum
Lineage: Bacteria; Bacillati; Bacillota; Bacilli; Lactobacillales; Lactobacillaceae
Description: bacterial SSU rRNA
Rfam family: Bacterial small subunit ribosomal RNA
Source: RNAcentral